GGUGGCUCAGUGGUAGAAUGCUUGCCUUAUAAGCAUGAGGCCCUGGGUUCGAUUCCUCAGCACCA
This 65-nucleotide transfer RNA is filed under the name Dipodomys ordii (Ord's kangaroo rat). It matches the Rfam family "tRNA". From Rfam's summary of the family: Transfer RNA (tRNA) molecules are approximately 80 nucleotides in length. Their secondary structure includes four short double-helical elements and three loops (D, anti-codon, and T loops). Further hydrogen bonds mediate the characteristic L-shaped molecular structure. tRNAs have two regions of fundamental functional importance: the anti-codon, which is responsible for specific mRNA codon recognition, and the 3' end, to which the tRNAs corresponding amino acid is attached (by aminoacyl-tRNA synthetases). tRNAs cope with the degeneracy of the genetic code in two manners: having more than one tRNA (with a specific anti-codon) for a particular amino acid; and 'wobble' base-pairing, i.e. permitting non-standard base-pairing at the 3rd anti-codon position. Lineage: Eukaryota; Metazoa; Chordata; Mammalia; Rodentia; Heteromyidae. The record is from Rfam by way of RNAcentral.